This 436-nucleotide ribosomal RNA is filed under the name uncultured Persicobacter sp. RNAcentral's name for it is "partial 16S ribosomal RNA". It matches the Rfam family "Bacterial small subunit ribosomal RNA", at positions 341 to 792 of the family's 1533-position model. Lineage: Bacteria; Pseudomonadati; Bacteroidota; Cytophagia; Cytophagales; Persicobacteraceae. The record is from RNAcentral.
ACGGAAGGCAGCAGUGGGGAAUAUUGGGCAAUGGGCGAAAGCCUGACCCAGCGACGCCGCGUGAGGGAAGAAGGUCUUCGGAUUGUAAACCUUAGUCAACAGGGAAGAAGCAAGUGACGGUACCUGUGGAGGAAGCCACGGCUAACUACGUGCCAGCAGCCGCGGUAAUACGUAGGUGGCGAGCGUUAUCCGGAUUUAUUGGGUUUAAAGGGUGCGCAGGCGGCUUUUUAAGUCAGUGGUUAAAUCGUGACGCUCAACGUCAUCACGCCAUUGAUACUGGAGAGCUUGAUUGCGGUCGAGGUUUGCGGAAUUCGUCGUGUAGCGGUGAAAUGCAUAGAUAUGACGAAGAACACCGAUUGCGUAGGCAGCAGACCAGGCCGUAAAUGACGCUCAUGCACGAAAGUGCGGGGAUCGAACAGGAUUAGAUACCCUGGUA